Molecule: long non-coding RNA, 244 nt
Filed under: Brassica rapa (field mustard)
Lineage: Eukaryota; Viridiplantae; Streptophyta; Magnoliopsida; Brassicales; Brassicaceae
Description: long non-coding RNA (BRAP_LNC000748)
Source: RNAcentral
AAAUGUUUGGAAAGUUUGGUUCGGUUUUAGUUCGAUUGUUUUGAUUCUUGGUUUGGUUCGAGUAACAAAAUUGUUAAAAUAAUAUCAUAAUAUUAGAACUUAGUUUCAAUACAUUCCAGUACAUAUCUAGAAAACAAAUAUUAUUAUAACUUAGUUUCAAUCUUUCAUUUUUAACUUAGCUUUAAUCUUUGAAUGAGAAAAUCUAAGAAUAUAUACUAUUAAAAACAUCAUUUCUUAAAAAUAA